RNAcentral lists this ribosomal RNA (467 nucleotides) under uncultured bacterium. RNAcentral's name for it is "partial 16S ribosomal RNA". It matches the Rfam family "Bacterial small subunit ribosomal RNA", at positions 28 to 507 of the family's 1533-position model. The record is from RNAcentral.
GACGAACGCUGGCGGCGUGCUUAACACAUGCAAGUCGAACGGAAAGGCCUCUUUCGGGGGGUACUCGAGUGGCGAGCGGGUGAGUAACACGUGAGUAACCUGCCCUUGACUUUGGGAUAACUUCAGGAAACUGGGGCUAAUACCGGAUAGGAGCUCCUGCUGCAUGGUGGGGGUUGGAAAGUUUCGGCGGUUGGGGAUGGACUCGCGGCUUAUCAGCUUGUUGGUGGGGUGGUGGCUUACCAAGGCUUUGACGGGUAGCCGGCCUGAGAGGGUGACCGGCCACAUUGGGACUGAGAUACGGCCCAGACUCCUACGGGAGGCAGCAGUGGGGAAGAUUGCACAAUGGGUGGAAGCCUGAUGCAGCAACGCCGUGUGCGGGAUGACGGCCUUCGGGUUGUAAACCGCUUUCGCUCAUGACGAAGCUUUGUGUGACGGUAGUGGGUAAAGAAGCACCGGCUAACUACGUG